ACCUGACGCAGCGACGCCGCGUGGGGGAUGACGGCCUUCGGGUUGUAAACCUCUUUCGCCAGGGACGGAGCUUUUGUGACGGUACCUGGAGAAGAAGCACCGGCCAACUACGUGCCAGCAGCCGCGGUAACACGUAGGGUGCGAGCGUUGUCCGGAAUUAUUGGGCGUAAAGAGCUCGUAGGCGGUGUGUCACGUCGGCCGUGAAAACCUGGGGCUUAACUCUGGGCGUGCGGUCGAUACGGGCAUCACUGGAGUUCGGCAGGGGAGACUGGAAUUCCUGGUGUAGCGGUGAAAUGCGCAGAUAUCAGGAGGAACACCGGUGGCGAAGGCGGGUCUCUGGGCCGAUCUGACGCUGAGGAGCGAAAGCGUGGGGAGCGAACAGGAUUAGAUACCCUGGUAGUCCACGCCGUAACGUUGGGCGCUAGGUGUGGGGACCAUUCCACGGUUUCUGUGCCGCAGCUAACGCAUUAAGCGCCCCGC
This 480-nucleotide ribosomal RNA is filed under the name uncultured bacterium. RNAcentral describes it as "bacterial SSU rRNA". It matches the Rfam family "Bacterial small subunit ribosomal RNA", at positions 381 to 872 of the family's 1533-position model. The record is from RNAcentral.